GGCUGGGCAACCACAGAGCUGGAGCCCUGCACCUGCAAAGAUGCUUUCUUAAUCCCCACCUGGGCUGUCAAAGAGCUCCUUUGGGCUCUAGCAGUGGUGUGUGGACGUGCAGGCUUUUGGAUGUCAGCUCCCAGACCCUUUGCUGUCCUCCAGGUUCAGGUGUCUGAGGAGAACAGGUCGUGCUAACACCAGCGUUGCCCAGUGCCUGGAUAAGAUCAGCUGGGGCAUGAAGAACGGCCGGGCGGUGGUGAACCUUGUGCAACGGUGGUGGUGGGGGCCAGUCUGAAGAGCUGGGCUGGAGCGAGGUUGGAGGCUCGCUCAGAGAGCUCGGAGCUGCCGUCGUGUGAAUACAGAGCGCUGCAGCAGUGACUUCCAGGCUGCCCUUUGGGCUGAAGUCCUUCCUACUGCAGUUCCCGAAAUGCUCCGUGACCAAAAUACACAUGGAGCGCGUUUUGGGUGUCCUUGGACGUGCUCCUUAAUUGCCUCCUUUCCCCCUUUCCAAUGGGGAUGGCAACACCGCCCUGCGGUUGUGUCUCCCGCACCUGCCUGUGAGCGGUGCGGGGGACAGGAGCAGCAGCCCUUGCUCCGUGCCUGGGCAGCCGUUUGUGCAACGAGCCCUCGUGUGCUCAGCUGGGGCUGCUGUCCUCCUGGAAAGCACGAGGUUCCCGGAGCACAGAGGUGUCAGAAAUUCCUUGAACCCUUGGAACGGGCAGGCGCCGGAGGGCCGGCCGGCAUCCGACGCGGCAGCGCGAAGCCCCACGUGGCCUGCACAAGGCCCCCGCUCCGGCCCGGCCAGGCGGCCUCCCCCAUGAGCCGCUCCGGUUCCUGCUCCUGGAGAUUUGCAGCCGGGGAGACGGGAGGUGAAAUUCUGGGAGCCCCGGAAAGGCGAAGCGCGUGUUGGAGAUGGGAUCCUGCUGCUGCACCUCCUCCGACCUCUGCCUGGGCUCCAGCCUCCCCUGAACGCGGAGCUGAAACCCACUCCAGGGAGUCGCUGACCCAGGUUUGCGCCCGUCGCGGCCGCCGCUCGCCGCCCGGUUUUGCAGCAGGUUGGCUCUGCGGCGAGCUGCGGGUCGGCUCUGACGGAUGACAAAGCGCUCAUUUAAAUGCGCACCGUGCUGCCGGCGAGUCCAUUAGGGGAAUUAAUUUGAAUGGAUGGCAUUUAAUAAACAGCCUCGUGCCUCCUCUCCCCCUUCCCGC
This 1197-nucleotide long non-coding RNA is filed under the name Apteryx owenii (little spotted kiwi). RNAcentral describes it as "lncRNA (ENSAOWG00000016671.1)". The record is from RNAcentral. Lineage: Eukaryota; Metazoa; Chordata; Aves; Apterygiformes; Apterygidae.